Taeniopygia guttata (zebra finch) is the source of this 632-nucleotide long non-coding RNA. RefSeq lists it as uncharacterized. The record is from RefSeq and is a predicted model, not a curated record. NCBI's taxonomy places the organism in Eukaryota, Metazoa, Chordata, Aves, Passeriformes, Estrildidae.
AGCACAGAACUGUUGUCCUCUCUUGCAAUUCCUCCUUGAGGAAUAACAAGAAGUUUUUAUGAAGUGAGGCAGUGUGCAGCAUGAUUUUAGUGCUAUCCCACUGCCUCUGGAGAGAGGGAUUUCUUUGCCUCUGCAUUACUCUACACUCGCUGUAAUCCAUUAAUUGUCUUCAGGAAAACCCUCUGGCUCUGUCCCUCACAUCAGUGUCUCCCUGUGCAUUUCAGAGUCCCCUGAUCCAGGCAGGAGGGCUCAGCACCAGUGCUCAGCACCCUGAGCCAGGCAGGAGUGCCCGGGAAGGCUGGAGGUGUCUGCAGGACAGGAGGAGCUGGAUGCAGACCUUGGCCCUCAGGACUUGGAUUCAGAGAAAUUCAUCAGUCAGAAAGAGCAGCUUGGCUGGGAGUUGAGGGGAAAAACAACACUUUUCCCCCAAAGCCAUGGCCAGUGGGUGGAGGUUUAUGCCCAGCAGCGGAGUUGCUCCCUCUUCAUCACCCAGGGGUGGAGAAACUUGAUGUACUGGUAGUUUGUCCAAUGUCUUUGGAGAGGUGGCGCAUUCACCCUCCAAUCCACUGUCACCUUUGGAAAAGUAUAAAUGCUGGAGUCAGAAAAUAAACCCUCUCUUUUUUCACCUUGCA